RNAcentral lists this long non-coding RNA (1002 nucleotides) under Ailuropoda melanoleuca (giant panda). Its description in RNAcentral is "lncRNA (ENSAMEG00000028465.1)". Lineage: Eukaryota; Metazoa; Chordata; Mammalia; Carnivora; Ursidae. The record is from RNAcentral.
AUGGCUCCCACGAAAACACGUACACCGCCAACGGAAGGGCAAGGGAACAAUACGCGCGGACACGGCUCCGGCCCCCUCCUCCCCCGGUCACCCUGGGGCGGUGGUCGGCGUGACCCCCAGCCAGGAGCCGGGAACCGGGGAGGGUGCAGGGUUGCCCGCGGCCCCCUCCCGGCCGGCGCCGUCCGCCGGGGAGGAUCAAAGUCCGCGGAGCAGGGCGCGGCGGAUGCUCCCACCGCGCAGCCCCAAGCGGGCACCCCCGAACAAGCACCCCAGGCGGGCACCCCCGGAUACCUUGCGGCGGCGGGCGGGCGCCGUCAUCUCCGCGCUUCUCGGCCCGAGAGGGACUCGAAAGUAUGUAGGAGAAAAGUUUCCCCUCCCACAUGGGGGGGAGGAUGUCGGGGGAGAGAGGGCGGAAGAUGGAGAGCAGCGCUGGGAAGAUGUUUCUGGCCGGCGGUGCGCGCACCAUCCGAGUCCCGGCGGUGCUGGUUAAAAAUAAAUUCCGCGGCGGGCGCGGUGGCGCGGGUCGGGCCGGAUUCCUGCGCUCGGACGGCUAAUAUGGAUGCGCAUCAGGUCCUGGCGGCGGGGCGCUGCGGCGGCCGCGGCGGCUCGCGCUGGGAGCUGGUUGGCAGAGCCGGCAGCUCGGGAAGGGGAAAAGGAGCGGAGGAAGGGGAGGAGGAGGAGGAGGAGGGGGAGGAGGGGAGGAGGAGGAGGAGCGGCCCGGCGCGCUGCCCGAGGGGAGAGGGCUGCCCAGCUCAUCCCCGGCCGGCCCCACCGCCCCGAGCGCACGUAGCGCGGCGUGGGUCGCUCGGGUCCUCGGCUCCGGGAAACGCCGAGUUUAAAAAGUACAACGCGCUCGGCACACUUCACCCUCCCCAUCCCCAAAAGUUCUUUAAAAGGUCGCUCCCGCUCAGCCCUAGACAUCUCGCUGCCACCCGAGUACCGGGCGCCGGAACCCCGGGCGCGUACUUACGGCCCGGCAGGGCUCUUGGCUCCCAGGCAUGA